RNAcentral lists this ribosomal RNA (335 nucleotides) under uncultured Bartonella sp. RNAcentral describes it as "bacterial SSU rRNA". It matches the Rfam family "Bacterial small subunit ribosomal RNA", at positions 60 to 421 of the family's 1533-position model. The record is from RNAcentral. Lineage: Bacteria; Pseudomonadati; Pseudomonadota; Alphaproteobacteria; Hyphomicrobiales; Bartonellaceae.
AGUCGAGCGCACUCUUUUAGAGUGAGCGGCAAACGGGUGAGUAACGCGUGGGAAUCUACCCAUUUCUACGGAAUAACACAGAGAAAUUUGUGCUAAUACCGUAUACGUCCUAUUAGGAGAAAGAUUUAUCGGAGAUGGAUGAGCCCGCGUUGGAUUAGCUAGUUGGUGAGGUAAGAGCUCACCAAGGCGACGAUCCAUAGCUGGUCUGAGAGGAUGAUCAGCCACACUGGGACUGAGACACGGCCCAGACUCCUACGGGAGGCAGCAGUGGGGAAUAUUGGACAAUGGGGGCAACCCUGAUCCAGCCAUGCCGCGUGAGUGAUGAAGGCCCUAGG